This 447-nucleotide ribosomal RNA is filed under the name uncultured microorganism. RNAcentral's name for it is "bacterial SSU rRNA". It matches the Rfam family "Bacterial small subunit ribosomal RNA", at positions 9 to 463 of the family's 1533-position model. The record is from RNAcentral.
GAGUUUGAUCAUGGCUCAGAUUGAACGCUGGCGGCGUGCCUUACACAUGCAAGUCGAACGGUAACAGGUCUUCGGAUGCCGACGAGUGGCGAACGGGUGAGUAAUACAUCGGAACGUGCCCGAUCGUGGGGGAUAACGGAGCGAGAGCUUUGCUAAUACCGCAUACGAUCUACGGAUGAAAGCAGGGGACCGCAAGGCCUUGCGCGGACGGAGCGGCCGAUGGCAGAUUAGGUAGUUGGUGGGAUAAAAGCUUACCAAGCCGACGAUCUGUAGCUGGUCUGAGAGGACGACCAGCCACACUGGGACUGAGACACGGCCCAGACCCCUACGGGAGGCAGCAGUGGGGAAUUUUGGACAAUGGGCGAAAGCCUGAUCCAGCCAUGCCGCGUGCAGGAUGAAGGCCUCGGUGUAACUGCUUUCGUUGCGGUACGAAAGACGUACCUUCCU